GCCGCCGUAGCAAAGAGGUAUUGCGUCGAUCUCCAAAAUCGCAGUUGCUUUGCAACUCAAGGGUUCGAAUCCCUUCGGCGGCGC
Molecule: transfer RNA, 84 nt
Filed under: uncultured archaeon
Lineage: Archaea
Description: tRNA-Trp(cca)
Rfam family: tRNA
About the family: Transfer RNA (tRNA) molecules are approximately 80 nucleotides in length. Their secondary structure includes four short double-helical elements and three loops (D, anti-codon, and T loops). Further hydrogen bonds mediate the characteristic L-shaped molecular structure. tRNAs have two regions of fundamental functional importance: the anti-codon, which is responsible for specific mRNA codon recognition, and the 3' end, to which the tRNAs corresponding amino acid is attached (by aminoacyl-tRNA synthetases). tRNAs cope with the degeneracy of the genetic code in two manners: having more than one tRNA (with a specific anti-codon) for a particular amino acid; and 'wobble' base-pairing, i.e. permitting non-standard base-pairing at the 3rd anti-codon position.
Source: RNAcentral